ACCAAGGGCUAACGACGGGUAGCUCGGUCUGAGAGGACGACCAGCCACACUGGAACUGAGACACGGUCCAGACACCUACGGGUGGCAGCAGUCGAGAAUUUUUCUCAUGGGGGAAACCCUGAUGGAGCGACGCCGCGUGGGGGAUGAAGGGCUUCGGGUUGUAAACCCCUGUCAUUUGGGAACAAAGCUUAUUGAUUAACAGUGGAUGAGUUGAUUGUACCGAAAGAGGAAGGGACGGCUAACUCGGUGCCAGCAGCCGCGGCCGA
This 266-nucleotide ribosomal RNA is filed under the name uncultured Actinomyces sp. Its description in RNAcentral is "partial 16S ribosomal RNA". It matches the Rfam family "Bacterial small subunit ribosomal RNA", at positions 267 to 529 of the family's 1533-position model. Lineage: Bacteria; Bacillati; Actinomycetota; Actinomycetes; Actinomycetales; Actinomycetaceae. The record is from RNAcentral.